RNAcentral lists this ribosomal RNA (497 nucleotides) under uncultured bacterium. Its description in RNAcentral is "partial 16S ribosomal RNA". It matches the Rfam family "Bacterial small subunit ribosomal RNA", at positions 28 to 507 of the family's 1533-position model. The record is from RNAcentral.
GAUGAACGCUGGCGGCGUGCCUAAUACAUGCGAGUCGAGCGAACAGACGAGGAACUUGCUCCUCUGACGUUAGCGGCGGACGGGUGAGUAACACGUGGAUAACCUACCUAUAAGACUGGGAUAACUUCGGGAAACCGGAGCUAAUACCGGAUAAUAUAUUGAACCGCAUGGUUCAAUAGUGAAAGACGGUUUUGCUGUCACUUAUAGAUGGAUCCGCGCCGCAUUAGCUAGUUGGUAAGGUAACGGCUUACCAAGGCAACGAUGCGUAGCCGACCUGAGAGGGUGAUCGGCCACACUGGAACUGAGACACGGUCCAGACUCCUACGGGAGGCAGCAGUAGGGAAUCUUCCGCAAUGGGCGAAAGCCUGACGGAGCAACGCCGCGUGAGUGAUGAAGGUCUUCGGAUCGUAAAACUCUGUUAUUAGGGAAGAAUAAAUGUGUAAGUAACUAUGCACGUCUUGACGGUACCUAAUCAGAAAGCCACGGCUAACUACGUG